CAUCUUAUUCCCAGACAUUAUGGUUUUGGUAAUCUCUUCUUUGUUUUCACUUGAAAGUUGAUCUGCAUCUACCACUUCUCAUUUCUUGUGAUUUCAUCCCUCUCUUUCUCCUUUUUCUCUCUCACCUCCAAAUCUUCUUUCCCCUUCCUUUUUUGUCUCUGCUCUGCUUUUCUUGGUUUAUUUUUUUUCCCUUUAGAAAAAAUUUUUUAAACAUCUAUAUUCCAGUUAUAUUCAACACUCGAUGGUGGUGAAUUUGGAUAAGACUUUGUGUUAAAUAUUACGGAAAACAUAAAUACAGACAUUAUUCAUGUCUUACCAUUGAGAAAAUUUAUUUCUUGAAUUAUAAUCUAAGACAAAUUAUAGAACGAUAUUUUUUCAGUCCAUUAGUUCAACAAAAAUUUAGUAAAAUAUGUUUGAGGCAGUGUUUGGGGGCAAUGAGUGCAUAGUGGAGAAUAAAAUAGACCUCCUUGCCUUCACACAGUUUAUAAUCUUAGAUGUCAUCAAUUGUAAGAUGCAACAUCUAUUUUAUAAAAGAUUUUUCAGGAAUAAAAGCUGCAUUAAAUGUUCAAUCGGGGAGUUCCUAUUGUGGCCCAGUGGUAAUGAACCUAUUAUCCAUCAGAAUGCAGGUUUGAUUCCUUGCCUCACUCAGUGGGUUAGGGAUCUGGCAUUGCUGUGAGCUCUGGUGUAGAUAACAGGCACAGCUCAGAUCCGGCAUUGCUGUAGCUGUGAUGUAGGCCUGCAGCUGCAGCUCCAAUUCGAAUACUUGGCUUCGGAAGAUUUUCAAUGUGAAAAGUAGAUCUGUUUUCAGUUUGGGCCCCAGAAACUCUAAAAUGAGGAUUUACAUGUAAGUGAUUAAGAAAAUGCUUCCAGGUGAUGCAGCUUAUGGGGUUGGGUGAGUAGGCAACAAGGGUAAACACCAAGCUGGAAUGCAAUGUCAAGCAAAGUCUCACCCUCCUCUUGAUAGGUCAUAGGGUAGCUCCAAGAGUAACUUAAACCUUAGAGAUUGCCACCUCCUUUGGUGCAGGGAGCUGUGUUUUCAUGCUCCCCUCUUGUUAGUCAUGAGCUAAGGGUCAGAUACCAAGUAUGUCAGGAUAUGGUGCAGGCAAAAUUACUUUCCUAGUCCAAGGGCGGUGCUGUGUGCAGUUGCUGGAGGCCAAAAUGUACCACACUGCUUGGUUUUCUUGUUUCAAAUAGUGAUGAUCUCAGGCACCAUCUGUAUUGUUAUCAUUGAUAGUUUUGUCAUUGUUAUUCAUUUUAUUUUUUUAAGUAAAUGCGAAAUUACUUAAAUGGUGUCAUGUGCAUGUGUUAUAAUUACAGACUCCCACGCACAGUACACAACUGCUAGGAAAGAGGGAAACAUGUACAGACAGACAACCCUGUUAGUGAGGAAUUAUUUUUAUCCCUUUUUUUUUUUUCUUUUUAGGCCUGCACAUGCAGCAUAUGGAAGUUCCCAGGCUAGGGCUCAAACUGGAGCUGCAGCUGCUGGCCUACACCACAGCCACAGCCCUGAAAGAUCCGAGCCACGUCUGUGACCUACACUGCAGCUCACAGCAACGCUGGAUCCUUCACCUACUGAGCGAGGCCAGGGAAAGAAGCAGCAUCCUGAUGGAUACCAGUCAGGCUUGUUGCCUCUGAGCCACAAGUGAAAUUCCUCUGUUAGUGAGGAAUUAAAAGACUGAUUCCUUGUUAUAACACCUUGUUUUCAAUACUAAUAUGAUUGGAUUCAUUUUAAUGUGAGUUGGUGUUGCUUUAGCAUAAAUAGGUUUAAUUUGGGUGUCACAAAUGCAUAAAAUAUUUUCCCUUUGCUAUUAAUGGUAAUUUUAUUUUUACUUAUGAAAAUUGACUUUAGGAAGGAUUUUUUCUAGGGGUAAUGACUCUCAAGAGGUAGGGGUCAAGGCCUGUGUGUGUGUGUGUUCAGUUAUAAAUGUGGCUAUACUUUUAAAAAAGUUUUUGUUUUGAAAUAAUUAGAUUUAAAAUAAUACAGAGAUCCCAGGUACCAUCAUUUCCUCCAGUGGUUCUGUCUUAUGUAAAUAUACUACACUGUCAAAGUCAUGAAACUGACAUUGGUGUAAUGUGUGGGUAUAGUUCCACUCCAUUCUAUCACAUAUGUAAAUUUGUAUAACCACUGCCACAAUCAAGACACAAAACUGUUUCAUGGCCACAAGGCUCCUUCAUGCUUUCUGCUUAUAGUCAUGCCCACUCCCCACCUCUAACCUCUGGCAAUCACUAAAUUCUUCUCCAUCUCCUCUUUUUUUUAGGAACACACAUGCACCAUAUGGAAGUUCCCAGGCUAGGGACUGAAUUGGAGCUGCAGCUGCCGGACUACACCACAGCCAUAGCAACUCAGGAUCCAAGGCAUGUAUGAGACCUACACCACAGCUCAUGGCAAUGCCAGAUCCUUAGCCCACUGAGCGAGGCCAGGGAUCAAACCCGCGUCCUCAUGGAUACUAGUUGGGUUCAUUACCACUGAGCUGCAAUGGGAACUCCCUUGAUUUUACAUUUUGAUAAUUUUAUGUAAAUGAAAUUAUACAAUAUAUGUAGCCUUUUGAGAGUAGCACUUUUUCCCACUUAGAAUGAUUACUUGGACAUUUAUCCAAAUUGUUGCAAUAUUGAGAUUUUGUUCCUUUUUAUUACUAAGUAGUAUAGACAUACCCGUUUGUUUAUCUCUUCAUCAGUUGGUGGAUGUUUAAGUCCUUUCCCCUUUUUGACUAUUACAAAUAAAGCUGCUGUGGAUAUUUGUGCACAGGUUUCUGUGUGGACAUGAAUUUUCAUUUCUCUGGGAUAGAUGCCCAGGAAUGUGAUUACUGGCUCAUAUAUCAGUGUAGAUAUGAAUUUUGUUAUAGAGAAAUGUGACCACAUUGGUUAAGUUUUAGAAGGUAUAGACUUGGCCAAAAAUGUUUUAAACUUUGUUAGAAAAGAUGAACUUAGCAUUAAGAUAAUGAUGAUUUUAUAAAAUAAGGAUUUGUCCACAGGGAAUUCAUGUUAUAAGUAUUAUUUUGGCUUUCUAAUCUUGUACUAUAUUUCUAAUCCUUGUUCUAACCUACAAUUUCAUAACAGCCUAUGACUCCUGGUGAAUUCCCUUGGAAUGGCUGCUUUUCUGCAGUAGAAAGCAGUGUCCUUAAUAUCAGCUCAUCAUUAUUCUACUUAAGUCUACUCUUUCUAUGCAACUAAUUCAAUGAAGCAAAUCUGGGGGCAUUCUAAAUAUAGCCAGUAUGUAUUGUUUUCGUUUCAAGGGGCGCUAUUAGUUUUCAGUUGUCUGUGUCUGCUUUUUUGACCAAUGUAGUUUUGAAUGCCUGUUAAAAACUGGCAGUUCUUCACAUUCAAAAGGCACUGCUAAUAUAUGGUUAUUGUCUUGUGUUGCUUUAAAGCUUUUAGACAUUGUGAAAAGAAAGCGUUGUUAUUCUGUCACAUAAGCCUGAGAACAUCAGCUCAAUAGACAAACUCUAACCUCCUCCCAUCCAGUGUUGAGAAUCAUCCUGAUGAAACAAUUUCAUGGUAUUUGAUUUAGUAAAGAUUUCAGGCACUGUCACACUGGGCUUCUGGGAUUCUCAUCACACAGUAAGUCCAGGGACUGAAGCAUGAAGAAGAUAUUGCCAAAUGUAUCACAACCACUGAUGUAAUUUGCAGGUCACUUCUUUUUAGUGAAAUAACAUAGAGCAUGUGUGGCUAUCCUAAACUUAUUUUUAAGUCAGAAUGUAUUCAGAACUGAAAGAGAAAAUGAAAGAGGAGAGAGAACCUCAUAAAUUAAUUGAGUGGCACUUUAGAUGCGGGUAGAGCCAAGCUCUUGAAAGCAUAUGCCUCAACCCUGGAAGUCUGCAUUCCAGCCCUCAAUCCUUCCUAGACAGCUCUAUUGGCUUUGAGAUUUAUGAUUUAUGACUUGCCACUUAUGGAGUAUUUAUAAAAUUUCGGUGGAAGAAAUUCUGACCAAUGUCAUGAUUAAAGGACAAGGGUUUAAACAUUUGGCCAAGGUCAAAAAGGAACUUAAUUCUGAAGUUGCCAUUAGAUUUCUGGCCCUAGCUUUCAUCCUCUCAGUCAGCUUGAGUGACCAUAAGAUUCAGUUUUCUUAGGGAAGUCCAGGUUAAAUUGUUCCAAUGGAAAUAUCAACAGUGCCCUUUUUACUCCGAAAAGUUUCCCGGUUUCGGGGUCAAUUCUGCCUUCACCCUAUUGUUAGCUACAUUAGUAUAUUUUUCUUGAUACAUUAACAAAAAUGGUUCAUCCCUAUUUCCUUUCUGCAAAAUAAAUGGGUGAUAAUCAUUGUCCUUUAACUCUACACUGAUAGAAAAACUUCAGUUUAAUGAUUGAUAUUUUCUAUUUGUUAAUAUCAGAAUUUCAGUCAUAGUUAUACACCCAAGGGAACUACAUGCGUAUAUCCAGACAAAAGCUUGUAAACAUUUUCUUUGUGGCACUAUUUAUAACGGUCCCAAAAUAUUUUCUUAAAUGCCACAACUGCCCAUUAGAAGGGUCUCUGGUAUAUUUCCAUGAUGGAACACUACAUAGCAAUGAAAAAGAGCAAACCAGGGAAACAUAACACUACAUGCAUGAACUUUAGAA
Molecule: long non-coding RNA, 4551 nt
Filed under: Sus scrofa (pig)
Lineage: Eukaryota; Metazoa; Chordata; Mammalia; Artiodactyla; Suidae
Description: lncRNA (ENSSSCG00000053063.1)
Source: RNAcentral